UAGUCUGGUGCCAGCAGCCGCGGUAAUUCCAGCUCCAAUAGCGUAUAUUAAAGUUGUUGCAGUUAAAACGCUCGUAGUCGGAUUUCGGGGCGGGCCGACCGGUCUGCCGAUGGGUAUGCACUGGUCGGCGCGUCCUUCCACUCGGAGACCGCGCCUACUCUUAACUGAGCGGGCGCGGGAGACGGGUCUUUUACUUUGAAAAAAUCAGAGUGUUUCAAGCAGGCAGUCGCUCUUGCAUGGAUUAGCAUGGGAUAAUGAAAUAGGACUCUGGUGCUAUUUUGUUGGUUUCGAACACCGGAGUAAUGAUUAACAGGGACAGUCAGGGGCACUCGUAUUCCGCCGAGAGAGGUGAAAUUCUCAGACCAGCGGAAGACGAACCACUGCGAAAGCAUUUGCCAGGGAUGUUUUCACUGAUCAAGAACGAAAGUUAGGGGAUCGAAGACGAUCAGAUACCGUCGUAGUCUUAACCAUAAACCAUGCCGACUAGGGAUUGGAGGAUGUUCCAUUGUGACUCCUUCAGCACCUUUCGGGAAACUAAAGUCUUUGGGUUCCGGGGGGAGUAUGGUCGCAAGGCUGAAACUUAAAGGAAUUGACGGAAGGGCACCACCAGGAGUGGAGCCUGCGGCUUAAUUUGACUCAACACGGGGAAACUUACCAGGUCCAGACAUUGUGAGGAUUGACAGAUUGAGAGCUCUUUCUUGAUUCGAUGGGUGGUGGUGCAUGGCCGUUCUU
RNAcentral lists this ribosomal RNA (732 nucleotides) under uncultured eukaryote. RNAcentral's name for it is "SSU rRNA". It matches the Rfam family "Eukaryotic small subunit ribosomal RNA", at positions 557 to 1295 of the family's 1831-position model. The record is from RNAcentral.